CAGCAGCCACGGUAAAACGUAGGGUGCAAGCGUUAAUCGGAAUUACUGGGCGUAAAGCGUGCGCAGGCGGUUAUAUAAGACAGAUGUGAAAUCCCCGGGCUCAACCUGGGAACUGCAUUUGUGACUGUAUAGCUAGAGUACGGCAGAGGGGGAUGGAAUUCCGCGUGUAGCAGUGAAAUGCGUAGAUAUGCGGAGGAACACCGAUGGCGAAGGCAAUCCCCUGGGCCUGUACUGACGCUCAUGCACGAAAGCGUGGGGAGCAAACAGGAUUAGAUACCCCCGUAGUCCCUGUCUCUUAUAA
This 301-nucleotide ribosomal RNA is filed under the name uncultured bacterium. RNAcentral describes it as "partial 16S ribosomal RNA". It matches the Rfam family "Bacterial small subunit ribosomal RNA", at positions 509 to 809 of the family's 1533-position model. The record is from RNAcentral.